AUUGAAAAAGUGAAAAAAAAUUAUGAGAGAGAGCUCAAGGCAACAGCAUCAAACUCAGCUUUUUUGGCCGCGAGUGGUGAUGCGUAAAUGGCUCAAUAUUAGUGCUAAGGAUUCCGAUUACAGUGCUGACCCUGACUCUGAUGUCGGCUCCGAUUCCGGUUCCGAUUCCGACCAAGAAUUCUGUGACUGGCCGAGGCAGUCGGGGCUGAACGAUGCAAAAGACGG
This 225-nucleotide unclassified non-coding RNA is filed under the name Hevea brasiliensis (rubber tree). The record is from RNAcentral. Lineage: Eukaryota; Viridiplantae; Streptophyta; Magnoliopsida; Malpighiales; Euphorbiaceae.